CCACCUUUGCGGACGCUCUUCUGAGUGCUUACGUUGUGGCAUGCCUGACACCUAGUUGGUCUGCCCCUCACAGGAGCACAUCUCCGCGGGCCUAAAGUGCUGCCCAGCAAUAUCAGCCCCCCCCCCUUUGGUGCGCCACACACACCGCAGAGAGUGGUGAGACGCAUAUAACUUCAUAAAAACGCUCACCUCCCGGGCAGAGAUUUCUCUCUCCUCUUGUCUCUUAGUGACUGCGACAGCCGCGCGGAUGCAGCAUCGCUGUCCCCCCCCCUCUCGAUAUCGACUGCUCAAGCUCUACACUGCCACUCUGCAGGCUUCGUCCCCCAUUCUCGUCCCUGCAUCUCUCGGGCAAUGAUGAACUUGGCACCGGAUACCAUCACGAUAGAGGCGCAGCGCAACACGGAGCUGCUGCUGCUCGAGCAGCUGCGCAGCACGAACCCUCACAUCUAUGCCCUGUGGCAGCGUCACCCGGACAAAGACAACGACGCUUCCUCUUCAUCCGCCGCGUCGUCGUCGUCGAAGGACACUCGUGGCGCCGGCGGUAGCGAUGGCAGAGGCGCCAACGCCUCCUCCGCCUCAGCAGCGUCGACAUUGACGGAGCCGUUUGACUACACGGAGCCGCGCUUCUACCGUGCCGCACACGUCCAUUUUCUCAUGGAAAACCUCAGCGUGACGCCACAGGGCUUCUCCAGUCUCUACCCGUCGAGACCGUGGAUCGUAUACUGGGCCUUGCAAGCUGCCGACGUGCUGAGUGCCAUGGAGAGCGAAGUGCUGCACCGUACCCCGCCGAGCGCCAUCGUGGCGUUCCUGCACAGCUGCCUCAGCGUCGACCACACAUGCCAAGCGGAGGUAAAUAACCGGCUCGCGGCUGCCGCCACGUCUGCCCGUGGAGCCCAGGAAGUGAACGACCCCCACGUCACCGGGACACUUCUGUGGAGCAGCACAACAUCCGUGACACUCUCGAGAGACAGCGCUGACGCGACGAGUGCCACCCGGAUGCCGCCAGUGGAGGACGCCGCAGAGGUGGCUGAACGUUCCUCACGGCCGGUGAUGGGUUUUGCAGGAGGGGCUACGCACCAAGAGCCGCACAUCGCCUCCUCCUACGCAGCCUGCUGCGCUCUCGCGAUGCUGAGCUGGUAUGACGACGGGGCACCGCUGCGGCAACUCCCGCGUGCCGCCAUCAAGCGGUGGCUCCUCACACUGCGAAACGAGGACGGUAGCUUUCGCGUGCAUGGCGGAGGCGAGUCGGAUAUUCGCGCCUCGUACUGUGCCGCCGUCAUAACAACUCUCCUCGGGCUCGAUGAUCCGACAACCUUUGACGGCGAGGCCGGCCGCCGCGAGUUUGUGGACGACGUGCGCGACGUUCCGGUGCUAACGCUGCAGACGGCGCGCUUCGUCGCCGCGUGUCAGACCCACGAAGGCGGCUUCACAUGCUCUCCUACCGCGUCGGAGGCGCACGGGGCAUACACCCAGUGCGGGCUGGCCGCCCUACUGCUCAUGAAGCAGCCGCACAUGGUGCAUCAGGCGUCAUUGCGUCGCUGGCUGGCCGCGCGCCAACUAAACUAUGAGGGCGGCUUCAACGGUCGCACAAACAAGCUGGUCGACUCUUGCUACUCGCAUUGGAUCGGCGCAUCGCACGUGCUGCUGCGCACGGUCGAGGCAUACACAAAAUGCUUCACAGAAGUGCCUACCACACAUUCGCGCAACGGAGACGGUGCAGGAACUAGCGAAGAUGGUGAUAGGGAGGAUGUAGAUUCCGCCUCGUCCGCUCGUUGUCUUCGGGCCCGGGAGGUGGUGCUGCUGGACCAUGCGCAGCUACUCGACGCAAAAAUGAUUCACGCUAGCGCCGAUGACGCCUGGGACCGUGCCGAGAGUGAGCAUCUUACGCGACUGGGUGUAGUGGAUCAGUUUCUCGGCGCCGAUGAUGCGGUGCUGCGGUCGGCGGAAGGAAAAAGAGCCGCCGUCACAGCCUUGUACGAGCGCCUACUGGAGAGCCAGCUCGCUGCGGUGCGCGGCUGCGACGGCAACGGUGGCGCAGCUGCGGGAGACGUGCAGGGCAGCCUGGAGGCAUGGCGAGCGCGCCAAGCGUUCCUCUACGCCGAUGUCGGCGACUUCUACUUUAACCAGCGCAAAUUGCAGGACUACGUCCUGCGCUGCUGCCAGGAUCCCGAGAUUGGCGGCUUGAUGGACAAGCCUCAAACAGCGCACGACGGGUACCACACCUGCUACUCGCUCUCGGGGCUGAGUGCAGCGCAGAACUUGCAGUACCGGACUCAUGCCACCGCCGCCGAUGCCGCCUACCCGUCCACCUACCUUGAACGCGCCUUUGCCCGCUCGUACCUCCCAGGGCGCGAGAGUGGCAGCACAAGCGGCAACGAAGAAGGCAGCUGUGGCGUAGUGUUGGGCUUACCAAACACUUCCGCGGCUGCGGAGUCGAUGCUUCUUCGAACGACCAGCCCGAUCUUUAACAUACAUCAAUCGCGCGUGCUCUCUGCCCUGCGUGCAUGGAGCGUGAAAACUUUCGUGUAAAGGGCUGGAGAGACAGCGACCGAUGUUGCGUUGCGAUGCAUGUGGACACGUGCGC
This 2584-nucleotide unclassified non-coding RNA is filed under the name Leishmania donovani. Its description in RNAcentral is "gene:LdHU3.26.1790(CDS-product:farnesyltransferas e_beta_subunit)". The record is from RNAcentral. Lineage: Eukaryota; Euglenozoa; Kinetoplastea; Trypanosomatida; Trypanosomatidae.